UGAGGCGCAUUUUAAUGAUGUCACUUGGAACUAAAUGGAAAGAAGCAAAGCAUGAAGCAAAAACUAGUGGAUAUGAUCCGUACGAUACUGAUAUUGAACGGUUAGCUCAUUGUCCAGAUAAUGUUGAAGAAGAUCAGUGGCGAUCUCUAGUUCAUUAUUGGAGCUCAGAGAAUGCACAGGAAAAGAGCAAGAGAAACAAAGAAAGUCAAAAAAAGCUGACCAUGCCACACACAUCAGGAAGAAAAAGUCAUGCUCAAAUUAUAGAUGAGAUGAAAAAGAAGAAUAGUGGUGUAAAGCCAACCCGUAUUUAGGUAUUCAGAAAAACUCACACGAGAGAGAAUACACAACCAGUGAAUGAGAUUGUCGGUGAAGUUAUGAUAAAUUUUGAUUCUUUAUAAGUAUUUUGGAACUUUUAUUCUAUUGCAAUUUUCUUUAACUUUUCGUUGCUUGACUUUUCUUUCAACAAGAAACAAAUGGAUGAUAUCGCUGAGGUGCAUCCCGAGUUAAAUAUCCCUGGAAGUGUUCCCAAUGAUGUGUACUCAAAAGUAAUAGGACCAGACACUCAUGGGAUUGUCCGAACUUUAGGAAAGAGAGCAACUCCAAGUUUCGUUUAUGGUCCUGUAUAUAAACGAGCUCAAGCUGAAAAAAGAGAUUUUGAUGCACGGGUUGAGUUGGAAGUUCAAAAAGCUUCCUCAGCUAUGAAAAUUGAGAUGGCGGAAAAGUUGGCUGAAGCACAAAAAGAAAUAGAAGCUAUGGAUAAAAAGUUGUCUGAAGCAAAAGAAGAAGCAAAAGAGGAUAAGAAGCAGUGGAGAGAAAAUUAUCGGAAGCAAAAAUAGACAUGGAAGUAAUUAUAUCAGAUAAAGUAAAGGCAGGUGUACAAGCAUAUCUAGAGUCUUUGGGUAUUACUAUUGAUGCAUAUACAAAAUCAGGACAGGCUUCUGAUAACUGAAUUGAAGAUCGUCAACAACCGUUAUCACCCAUUUCAUUUGUUCAGACAAAAAAGGCUAAGAUGAUCAAGAAGACUGGAACUAGUGUAGUUGACACAAAUAAACGAAAGUGGAGCUUUUCAGGGAAUUGAGGUCAAUUACUAGCUGCUAUGAAAUGCCCUCAACUUGUGGAUUGGUGAUUUCAUAAAGUUUUAUUGCAGAUUUUAUCUUAGAAUUUAAUGAAAUUGAUUUGAAUUAGGCGUUAAAGUUGGUUGCAUGUUGAAACUAUUAUAUUUAUAUUUCAUUUUUACUUAGAUCAUUUGAUUUGA
RNA transcript from Capsicum annuum, 1255 nucleotides. RefSeq lists it as uncharacterized. The transcript is spliced from 6 exons. The record is from RefSeq and is a predicted model, not a curated record. NCBI's taxonomy places the organism in Eukaryota, Viridiplantae, Streptophyta, Magnoliopsida, Solanales, Solanaceae.